RNAcentral lists this ribosomal RNA (253 nucleotides) under uncultured bacterium. RNAcentral describes it as "partial 16S ribosomal RNA". It matches the Rfam family "Bacterial small subunit ribosomal RNA", at positions 524 to 776 of the family's 1533-position model. The record is from RNAcentral.
GACAGAGGGUGCAGACGUUGUUCGGAAUUACUGGGCGUAAAGCGUGUGUAGGCGGCCGCGCAAGUCGGAUGUGAAAUCCCCGGGCUCAACCCGGGAAGGGCACCCGAAACUGCACGGCUUGAGUACCGGAGAGGUUGGUGGAAUUCUCGGUGUAGGGGUGAAAUUCGUAGAUAUCGAGAGGAACACCGGUGGCGAAGGCGGCCAACUGGACGAGUACUGACGCUGAGACACGAAAGCGUGGGGAGCAAACAGG